RNAcentral lists this long non-coding RNA (23253 nucleotides) under Heterocephalus glaber (naked mole-rat). Its description in RNAcentral is "lncRNA (ENSHGLG00000032866.1)". The record is from RNAcentral. Lineage: Eukaryota; Metazoa; Chordata; Mammalia; Rodentia; Bathyergidae.
GUCGUUCCUGAAAUUCUUUCACAUAAUUGAAGAUUAAUUUGAUUCCCCAGCUUGUUGAGGGUAGUUGACAGUGGGGGGCUGGGGUGGGUGGAAAUAGAUUAUUCAAAUCACAAAGAAGUAGGUGUGCCCUAAGUGACUGUUCCAUUACGGCGAGGAAGAAAUGUUUGCCUUCCUAAGCAUUCAUCCAACUCGCUGCUGCCGAUUGUGUGGGGCCGGAGGAGAGUGCCUGCUCACGAUCGGAAAGCAGCUCCUCUCCGUGUCCUGUGCUGGUGACUUCAGAGAGUGCAUUGUCGUGUAUGGACACCACACCGACCACUCUGUAACCCUCACCCUUCGCCCAGGCCCCUCCCUGCCUGCUCUGGCUGUGCACAGCUACCCCAGAUCCUCGCCCUGCUGUUUGUGGCCCCCACACUUUGAUUUCCCCUCGUGUCUUCACUUUCCACACUUGUACAUCCCGAAAGUUUCCAAGUCCUAUGGAUUCUGCUUCUGUUAUUUCUAAUUCAAAGGUUCUGGGCUGUGCCUUCCAACUGGAUAAAGCUGACCCUGGAAUUGGCACCUGGUGGGUGAGCAAUCAGGGUCCGUUGAAUGAAAAAUGGCCUCCACCUUAAUCAAGGUUUCAGCUCCAAAAAUAAUCCUACGUGUAUCUCUGCCCACUACUGCAUUAUCCUCCAUGACAGUCGGCUUGGAUCACAUUAUUUUAAUGUUCAGCACCUAGCUUUUUCCUGAAUCCAAUGUAAAGUACUCUUUUCUUUUUCUUUUGGCACCAGGGAUCGAACUCAGGACCUUGCGCUUGUGAGGCAGACUCAGUGCCACUGAGCUAAAUCCCUGAUCCCCAAACUACUCUUUUUAAAUACACCCCAACUUAUUUUUCCUCAGUACUCCUUCACAAACUCCUAAAUACCCUAUGCUCAACACAAAACAUACAGUUCCCAAAGGAAGAUCUUCCAGCCUACACUUACCCAACUUUGUGAUGGGAAGAAAGCCACAGGGUAGGCUGGGAAGCAGGCUCUGAAGUUUGAAUUCAGUCUGUUCUGGGCUGGUGAUAGGUGGUGAUGCUUCUUCCCAGUCUGGACAGCAGCAGUGAGUCAUUUCAGCAGGAGAAACGCAGAAACUGUAGGUGGCACCGUGCGGGCAGUGUGUUUUGGAUAUUGUCAUUCAGAAAGUUAACUGAGAUAGUCAAUGCUUAAUUAUAAAAUGGGCUUUGAGUUGGGUGGUGCUGCUUAACUGUAUGUAAGGAAGGCAGGCCAGGCACAGCUGUGAUGUCCAGUAGGUGAAGAAUAGUAAAUACAUUUUUGAUUUUUUCUAUUUAUGAUGGGUUUUAGCCUCAGUAGAAAUGCAGCAGCACCUGUAUUAUUUAUUCAUUUUGGUCUCUGCCUCAUAGCUUAGUUUAUCUUCAUUUCUUCAACCGUAAUGCUUACUCUUGUUUAUUCAGCAGUAUUGGGGAUUGCACUUGGGGUCUUUGCACUGAGCUACACACCCCGUCUUUUCCCUUCUUUCCUGAGUCAAGGUGUCGCUAAACUGCAGAUUUUCCUGGGUUGAUCUCCUGAUUGUGAUUGUCCUGCCUCAGCCUCCUAGAGUGUAUCCGGCUUCACUCAUCUUUUAAAAGUGAAUUUUUACUGGGCUUUUAAGGCACAUUUCAAAUGCUGCCCCGCCCAUGGAGCUACAGUAUUUGGGUUCUGUAUGUCUUUUUCAGCUAAGCUGGAUGUUCUUCCCUUUUCAGGGAAUUUAUGGGAUUCCUACCAGCAGGUACCUGGUCGGGAGAUGGGAGCUAAACUUCCUUUUUUUGUGCCUGGACCCUCAAUGUCUUACACAUAGUAGGCACAUAGAGUACUUUCAUUAAAUUACAUUCAUGUUUGUUUUUUCCUCAGGGCUGCCGGGAUGUUUCUUUCUCUUUUGAGUCCAGGUUGAUGCUCCUCACUGUGGGGCGUGUGUCUGUGUGAGUAGCCCGCUUAGCUCCUUCAGUGAGGAGACAUACGUUGUUUAGUCCUUAUUUUAAACUACUUUUCAGAAUGGGAGAACAACGCCUUCAUUUUGGAUCCAUGUGAUGCACUUUGAAUUUGCUCAGCUUUAGUUUGUGCUGCCCCUCAUUCUGUGUGGAAAUUAGUUCCACCGAAGUGCCACUGAACUCAGAGCUGCCUGCAACUUGAGAUGCAAACUCCAACACUGUGGGCCACUUUUGAGAAGCAUGUGGUCAUUCGGGAAACAAAGACACUCCUGUUUCCUCUUCUCAAUAACAAUUAAGACAUCAGAUUAAUAGAAUCUUUAAAUUCUUGAAUGAUGCUUGCAGAACAGUUUGUGUUUGCUUUAACACAAAGGAAUACUUUCUGAAACCUAAAGGUCACCCAAGAAAUAAGAGAGAGACAAUUUAGGAAUGGUGCAUGCUGGUAGAGUUUUGCAGAAUGGCAUGUGUUCUUUACAGUGUGUUUCUGGCUUUGGAGCCACUUGGCAUGGGAGUACACUGUGAUUUACUGCAGACAGGCAUUCCUGGGCAAGGAGUCCCCUGCAUGGAAGGGACAUGCCAUCAGGAGAAGGAGAGGACACUGGGGGUGGGAUGGGGGAAGAAGACUUCUCAGUUCCCACUCUAGCAUUUACUUAAUGAGUGUAAUGUUCUUGCUAAUGGGAUUUAACCACAAUACCUGUCUCUAACCUUGUCACCGAAAAGGUAGUCUACAUGCCCCUCUUUUCAAUGCUGUCUGGGUGGAAACUGUGCCCAAGUCUGUUCUCCCAAUUUUCUAAGUGGUAAUCCUAGAAUUAUCUUGGCUCAGAAAUAAAUGAAGAACUCAUGUACAGGAGUCAGAUUUCCCUACAGGGGUUGUAACUGAAACAAGGAUUAAGUACCAGUGUACAAAACCUUUCAAGCAAUGGACAGCAUGUCAAUUGCGGAACACUCUAUCGUAGAAGGGCCCUUAGCGCUUCUCUUUUAUAAAGCCUGAGAUCAGAUUUUGGUGGAGAAUUAAAAGCAGGGCAAUUUAGCUCCUUUAAAGGGUUGCUGGUUUGGGAGGACCCAGCUAUUUUUAGCUCUGUUGCUGUCUGUCCAGGAAGCUAAAACAGCUAGUCAAUUAAAUGGUAAACAGUGUGUGUGUGUGUGUGUGUGUGUGUGUGUGCAAGGUGUUGUGUAGGAGUAGGGCAGGGAGCUGGGGAGAUAAAAUAGGCCUCAGAAAAGAGUCUACCCAGGGCAAGAACUUUGCAAAGAGUUGCACAGUGUCAUGCAGAUAAAGCAUCCACUGGUGGCCACCUGUUACACAGUGCACACGUUUAUUUGAUGUUGCGCAGCAGAUGGAAUGGAAUGACACUAAGCCAGCUGAUCACUCAUGCUCAGGCAUCCAUUGAGUGAUGGUCACAAACUCUCUGCCAUUUACUGACUAUCUGCUAUACACCUAGCAUGGCGCUUUACUUCCGGUGUGCCAUUGGAUGUUGACAGCUGCAGCCUGAGAAGCCGAUACAGAGACAUUUUUGCCCAAGAUUACCUACCUGAUAGGUGCCUGAACUGGAUUAGAAUCUAGUUUUCUUUCCAACUCUGCUCUAGUCACUUCUGUAGCCUGCCUCCCACACUGGUCCCAGCUGCACUGACACUAUGUGAUCUGAAAUCGGUGUGUGAGGGCACUUUGGCCUUCCUGGAGAAAGGCAUGGAGCACACACAGGCCCGAUAUGCACACACAGAAAUGUGUAUAUACUGAACCUACAUUUAAAUCCACAUUUUAAGUGUGCCAGUAUCCUUAAAAAGAAAUAAUGAGGGACUCUCAUUUACAUUUUGCUUUCCAGUUUUCCUGGAACUGUAAUUUGUACUCCUCUUUUUUAAAAAAAAUCCCCUUUACCUUCUUUUAUUUAUUAUGAUCCCUGGAGAAUGUGUCCUCUGCUCAUGGCCUAGAUAAGAGAUCAUGGGUAUGGAGCAGAGGUCAGCAAGAUAGACGUAUGUUAGAAAAAAAAAAGAAAAUAGCAGGGUGGAACCACAUGGCUCUUAGUGGUCAUUUUUUCCCCUCAUGCUGUGUAGCAAACCUGAGGCAUGCUCAAUUUGGCAUCUUUGAAUUUAAACCAUGGAUAAACCAAAUAGAUCACAAACUAUGAUUCCAAAUAGAAACUGUGGAUUUAUCCGAAGGUAUAUUAUAUGAUCUCAUCCAAACAUAAAAUUCAUAUUCUAAGAGUGGUGUGUAAAAUUCCCCGAGAUUUUAGUGCAAGAUAAUUUUCCCUUUUCAUGUGCCUUUCCUCAUAUUGAGAUAGGUGGAAAUCUUUUAAGAUUUUAAUUAACCUUCGUCCUAAUGAAAAACCAACUACCAAUCUAUAGAUGGAAGGAUAUUUCCUUGGACAAUGUAGCCGUUAGUGUAAGGUCUUGUUGAAUCUCUUUCAACAAGUGUUUGGAAAAAAUCAAAUUUAGAAAUAAACAUUCAUAUCUAGAGGGCCUAUCGGGGUUUCCCUCCAAGCAGACAAAGGAAUACUUUCAGUCUUAUUAUAUGUCUUUGGACAAGCUCAGCUCUCAGGGCCUGCUGAGCUCUAAUAUCUUACGAAUCACUAACAGUCAAACUUCUUUCAUUUUGAGGCCCAUUCCUGGAGGGAUAAAGAUAAUGUGGUCAAGGAUGCAACAAUCAGCUGUUGGACUCAGAUGUGGCUGUAGAUAUAAAACAGAGUAUCUCUUCCUUUCCAGAUCAAAGGGAGAGAGUCCUUAGAAUGCUCAAGUUCGAAGUAGACAAAGAGGAGAAGGAAUAUCUAGCAUCAAAAUAGUGGCAAAUAUAAAAAUCUAGGCUUAUUACUGAGACCUAGGAAACAAUUCUCAAGGAAUGUUCCUGCUGCCAGUUACCUGAGAUUUUUUAAUUACAGGCAAUUCAUGAUUACCUGUGAAAGGAGGGAUGGAGAGGAGAACUCAAACAAUGAAUGUUGCAAAAUCAUACAAAUUGGCUUGGGAAUAUUCUGCAUGAUUUCUCCCUCUUAGAAAUUUGCCUUCCUAAUUGUAUUUUGCUUAAUCCAAUAUUAAAAAUUAGUUGGUUUCCCCUGAGAAGCUCUGGAGUUAAACUGCAGAGGGAAUUAGUUUCAGGAGCAUGCCACUUGGAACGUGGUGGAUGAAACGUAUUCGGGCCUUAAUGGACCAAAAGCUCCCACAGAUAUUUUAAUCUUAAAGGAAAGUGUCAUCUUGAGCACCUUACUAGUCUUCUCAUGUUGCCUAAAAGGCUGUAAACAAGUAUUUGUGAUCGUUAUGUAGGUGAGAUUAUUUCUACCUAGAUUUGUGCAUUUUUACCUGGAGAAUGUUCCAUUCUCGUCUCUCCCCUCCUUGGUAGCUGUAGUAAAUAAUAAACCAUCUAUCAGACUUAAGCAUAGGGCCUUAAUGGGGCCAGAAAUUUUGUUGAAUAAAUGAGAACAUUACUUAAGGCAGGUCUGGGUCUCAUUGUGUGACACCCAAGCAAUCCAUGAGGUGAUGUUUGUGAUUUAGGAAUCCGAACCCUUAGGCUAUAGAGUUGUUUUCUUUGGGGUUCCAGACUAAGUUCCCUUUGCUUCCUUCCCAACUUCCUUAAUUCUUUCCUUUCUCCCUCCCUGCCCCAUUUUUUAUAUUUGCCUUGUACCAUAUUGAAAUUAUUUCAUAUUGUAAUGUUCCGUCAGUAUAUACAAAUUCAAAAGUAGACGUACAUCCCUUCAGCUUAUAGUGCAUCUACAACUGAAAAUCCAAAACAAAUUUGCACACUGAAUUCCAACAAAAUGACAAAUGCCGCACUCAGAUGAACAAUACUGAUUUGACGUGAUGAACGACAGUGAGCUAACAUUAAGUGCUCACUUGUGGCAGUGGUGGUGGACCGACUGGUAGGCUGGUGAUGCUUUAAUUUUAUCAUACCUUUCUGUGUUUGUGAUGUAGAAGACAGUUCUAACAUCUUACUUAAAUCCCCUAGAAAGCUUUGGUCCACAUAAGUGUGCUGAUAGAUCAUGUAGCCUCACGAAUCCAUAAUCCAUUUUUAGGUUCACAAUCAGGUAUUGUGGGUCCUGGUGAGUAUGUAGUUUUGGGGAGUAUUUUAAAUAAAAAGUUAAAAGGUAAUGAAAGCAGAAUAAGUGGGGUUCCUCUCAGGCCCUUGGAAAGAAUCUGUACAGAGCAGUGCUGAACAUCAGGCAUUCUUAGCUUCAAAUCCAUCUUCCAAAUCCAUCUCGUUCAUGGGUCAAGCACUUCUCUACUUUCCUUUUAUUACCAAUAAAAAUGUCCAACCGGGUAACAAUGAGGAGUUGUAUUUUGUUUUCAUUUUAAGGAUAUAGUUUUGCAUUAUACAUUGGUACUUUUUAAAGGUAAUUCUUAAAAUAAAAACAGAAAAUUAGAUAUGGUUAUUUGUAGCACAGAUGGUUGCACAAUCUUUUUAUGUAAACUAUUUCUCCUAUGAUGGAUUCCUACAAGGAAACCCUGGGAGAAAGUUUUGGGGCUUGCCUUUUUUUUCAGCAUUCGUUUAAUUUACAGAGGUCAUGGAAAUAGAGAGGUCAGCAUUUCUCAAGAACAGCUUUUCCCAACCUGCCUGGCUUCUCGGAGCUUGAUCUGGGGGCUCACACAGCCCUUGUCAUUGUCUGGCACCUCGCCUGGUAACAUGGUUGUGAGCCCUGUCAGAAGACAGGGCCAAAGUGUGCCUCAGGUCAGCAUUUCUCUGGGGACCGAGGGGGCAGGCAGAACCCAGAGGUCAGAUCUGCCUUGGGGAUAACAUUGCAGAGUCCAGUGGUUGCAAUCAGGUGUGUUAUAAGUCAAAGCCACAUGGCAAACAGCAGGCACAGGGAAUGCUCAAAGGUCAGAUGGGCAACACAAGCCAGGGUCAGGAAGAACUUGGAGCUACAAUACCAGUUGGCAAGCAAAGCAGUCAUAAAAACCAUGAUCAGGCACAUUAUGCCUGUUGGACCUAAAUUCUUUCUGCCUACGAGACUGCUGUGCUCAGAGACAUUGGCUCUGGUACCAUGUGAGAGCACCUGGUAGACUGGAGAAUAAACUAUUAUACUCAAGAUCUAACCUGCCCUCUCAGGUUCUCUUCUCUCUAAGACAGGACAGUGAUGUCUCCACUGAAGUGACCUCCAUCGUACAGGUAUCCAGGAUACAUGCUCUGGGUGGAGCUUAGUUCUAAGAGAAUGUUUAUCUUGGAACCUUCUAAGGCUUUUCAUCAAAUAGUCCUAGCUUUCUUACUCCUUGCUUUAUGGGGUUGUUGUGAAUGGGUUUUGUAAAUAAUAAAGGACUACCACAUACCAGAUGACUACAAUCCUUUCUUUCCAGUGGGGAUUCUGAUGUUUAUAUUACCUGAAAGUUGUUUUCAAGUGAGGUUCUCAGCUAAUAAAUAUUUUUUUGGGUUUUCUUUCUAUUUUUUUUUUCCUUGAUUGAGCCUCAUCUUUUUGGUGACCAAUAAUUUAUUGGAAAUUUUAUCUGAGAAAAAUGUUUGCAGAGAUGGAGAGUUUCCCAGAUUCAAAAGAGAUUUUUCUUCUAAAACUCAGAGCUGGUAGAGCUACAAGACCAGCCUCUUUGUCUAAUCAAUCAGGUUUUUAACACAAUACACCCAGCUGAUGCUUGGGUAGAAUACAAAUUCCCAGUCAUGUGAGCUCUUAUCAGUUAUAAUACUGACAAAGAAUUAGCCAGUCUCUUUUGGUAAAAUGAUAGUUGCGGGCGCCUUAAUUUUUCUAGAAAUAUUUGGGGGAUUUGAAAGCUUAAGAAGUAAACAGGUUGUUUUGCUCAGGAAACCUUCUCUGAAAGACUGAGCAGGGUUCAUCUGAUGACAUUAGCUUUGCAAGUAAUUUCCAUGAUGUCAAGGGCACACUGGAGAUUAAAGAGGGAUUAAGACCUCCUUGCACAGUUAUGGCAUUGCAGUAAAUGGACUGGACUUGGCAGGCUGCAGCUCCGGUCGGCAACUUUCCAACACCUAAUCAUACACAAUAUAGGUUUGUGGUGUUACCUGGGCUAUUUUCACAGAGGCCAAGAAAUGUUUAACAGAUAAGGUGGGAGGAGAAAGAGGCUGGGAAGGAGGGUGGACCUGAGAAGAGCAGUUUAAGACACACCUGCCACCAUCAAGAGCUGCCGAAGAAGAUCAAGACAUUAAGGAAAAACAAUUUUUUUCAUAAUGUUUCAAAACAUGAGUUUCCAUCCUUUUUCCACUCCCAAAUUCUCCAGAUAUGCCUCUCUCUUAAAAGCUUUUUAUCCUUCAUGUUAUUAUCAAUUUCUUCAGCAAAAGGAGGCAGGUUUGUCCAGGAACUUCAUGGAAUAAAAAUGAGUUUAUGUUUUAAAACGGAAACAGCUGGAUGGCCAAAGCCAGGCAGGGAGGCAGCUCUGGUUUCAUCAGCAAAGGGAAACUCAAGGGCCUGGAGAGAACAACUGGGCUGGCAGCCAUGGCGGGGAGAAGAAAAGGAAACACACGAUCAUAAAGAACUAAUCAUGAUGAAAAAUGAAAAGCGAGAAAGAGCCAAGAACAACAAGCAAUAAAUAGAUUUGGAAAGGGGAAAAGACCAAAGGAAUGCAAAACCAUACUCAGGAAAGGGGCAGCAAGAUCAUGUGCGUUUCAUUGAAAAAUGUUUAAUAAUUCUUAAAAUCAUUAAAGAGUCCUACAGAAAUGUUUGGAGAUAACUUGUCAGACCUGAGAUUUAAUUCUUUGUGUUAUUUCAAAGCUGAUUUCAGUGCAUGAAAAGAAACAAAGUAAGAAAGGAAGAAAGGAAGAAAAGGAAAGGAAGAAAGAAGGAAAGAAAGAGAAUCAAAUGGACCUAGAGGGAGGAAUCUAAUGUAUAAUGUGCCAGAAUGCUUGGAUUUUUUUCUUUCUGCUUUUAUUUUUUUUAACUUUUAAUUUCAGCCCGAUGGUAGGGAAAGUAAGCAAUUAGUUUGACUCUGUAGGUUCAAAGACUACAUCCAGGGCUGGGGAUUUAGCUCAGUGGUUUUGCCUCCUGCUGCGCAAGUGCAAAGACCCGAGUUCGAUCUCCGGUACCAAAAAAAAAAGGACUACAUCCAAAGUGAUAAAUCCUGAGUUUCUAAGAGUAAUUCAUACAUUCCUAGCUUUAAUUAGAAAUAGCAUGUACAUUUUUCUCUAUGCAGUAAUUGUCUGACAUUCAUGUGUUUGUCUCAAGGGACUGACAGUUCUGACUCACAGGUAGAUCUCUAAAUAUUUUCAGAUGAAAUUAACAUGGAUUUAAGGAGGACUUAAGAAGAAAACCAGAUCCUAGUUUGUUGUCCCUCUUGAAGUGUGUUCGACAUGAUAAAAUAUACAAACAUGGCCAAUUGUCCAGGCUAUCCUCGAGAUGGGAUUUUUAAUAAAAACUAUUUGAAGUUUUACAGCAGUUAUAGAUAAAAUCUUACCACAGAAAUGGUGCUGUCUUUUUAUAGGGGGGAUACUAAUUAUUAGCUUUUUUAAAAAAAUUAGUUUUUAAUAGCAGCAUUCGUUUAAAGAGAGAAAAAAAUGCUUAUGUUACCUUCUGGAAUGUACAUUCAUCUUGUUAAUGACACUGUAGUUCAUGGUUGGCAAAACAGGACUUCUGAAUCAACCUGUCUUUUUCUUUCCGUUUGGUAGUUACACUUGAGAAAGAAAGCCAGCCCACUAAAGAUACAUGAAAAGUGCAUGAAGACAGGAUAAAGGAUUUCCUAUGAUUUUAUGUUGUUCUUAAUUAGGAAGCAUAUUGGCAACAAAUGCUAACAUGUGUUAAGAUGUUUAGUUGUAGCCAAAUAAAUGUUUUCUAUUACAACUCUGAAUUCCAUGCCUACUAGGAAACCAUGCUGUUCUGUGCAUGGCUUACAAAAUCCCUUUACAAAUCAUCUCAAGGACCAAUUUUCUGUUGGCUCACAGAGCAAAACUACUUUCGCCACAUGUUCUCCUGAAGGGUCAUGGGCAACUCCAAGCGGAAGUCAAAGACAAGAGGAACAUGAUCUCCGAUGUUGGAACUGCACUGCUUUGUGGUAAUGAAUGGUCCUUCAUGAGCAUACUCAAUGUGAGCCCAGUCUCAGAAGGGGGUGUCCAGAAGCUAGGGAGCAGCACCCUCUCAUCUGUGUUUGUUUUUAUCUCAGUGGAGGAGAAGCCAAGUGAAGAAGAAUUUCCUAUAACUUCUGCUAGCAGUGUAUCACAAAAUGCUUCAUCUCCGAUGAACAAGAGUAGGCACCAAGCUGAGUAACAAGGCUAGAGAGGAUCCUUAUCUUGAUCAUUGCGUAUUUUUAAAGAGCAAACAUUUAUUUUCUACUUCUAAUGUCAGAAGUUGAUUGAAAAAGAACAAAAAGUGAAUGGUGGUGAAGUUGUUUCCUAAAAUUUAAUAUUAGGGCACCUUCUCUAUUCAGGAUCUUAUGUUGCAAGCUAACUGUACAACUGUCAUGCUUUUGGGGGGUAACUGGUGCAUGGAUUAUUCUAUCUGUGUCUUAGAAACUUUAAGAGAAAAGAUUUCCAUCAUGGUAUUUUCUACUGCAUUGCACAGAAAUUUUACAUACCCUCAUUCAUUUACACAGCUGAAAUGACACAGGAGAUAGCCAGCAUCUGUCCAUUGGUUGGAAAGCACUCUAGUUUUUUGAUAUCAAUAAGUCAAUGGAAUCCAUGACUUACAGCAAUCUUGCGGUAUUCAUUCAAUAUGCUAUGACCAUGUUACCUAAAAGCUUCAUCUCUGCUCCCUGCAAUAUUCUUCCUCCAAUUUUUGGCUGGUGUGUUCUCUCCCUUCUUCAUGCCUUUUUUCAAUUGUCCCAAUUCCUGAAGCUUCUCCUCAUGUCUCAAGUAUUCUCUUUCCCUGUGUGCAAUUAUUUUGUUUUCUUCAUUAAUUUAGUUCCUCUCUCCUCUUCUAGGCUAUACAUUUCAUGAGGAAAGAAAGGCAUUUUGGUGUCAUUCUGGUGCCUAAGAACCUAAGUAGGAGAUGUGUAAUAAAUAAUUUGUUCACUGAAUUAACAGGCCCAUAAUAUUUUUGUUAUUCCUCUCACAUCCAUGGGCAACAUGUUCAAAACCUUGAAAAUUAUUAAAUCAUUUCUCUGCAUUGCUAUGUAAAACUUCUAAUAUUCCUAAUAAGACUGACCAUGCUUAUGAAAUCUUUUUUCCUUGGCCCACUGAGUAUAUGGACCACGAAAUAUUUAACAAAAAAGUGAGACUGUACAAAGAAGCACUAGGUUAGUGAAAGAUGAUUUUUUUUUUUAGUGCUUUUAGGUGGUGACCUCUUAACAAUGUAUCAGAUCUUUUGUAAACCGUGAAAUGAAAUGACUGGCUAUCGGAACUAAAUUUGAAGAGAAAAACUGUCAUCUUCAAAGCAGUAAAAUCUCUAUAUAACCAUGUAAACUAAUUACUAGGUUAAGUAAAAUCACUGAAAUAUAUCAGGCCUUUCUCAUGUCUGCAGGGCAGACAUAAUACAGUAAAUUUCUAAUAGUCAGCCUGGGAAGGCGCUGUAAUGGUUAGAGGAUGUCAUGGUAAUAGUCUCAGUUUUGGUUGGGAGACUUACAAAGAGAAUAUUGGUUGUACAUAAACUGUAGAAUCUACUUGAAUAUUUCUUUUUCAUUUCUCCCUAUCAAAGAGUGGAAGAUAUUUUGUGUAUAAUGUUUUUUUUUAAUUUUAGAUUAUUUGGUAUAUUGUAUUUUUUCAUGUGGGUAACAAAAAUACGUGAGCAAGAGCAAAACCUACCAGAAGCCUCAAAAACAUAGGUACCAUGGAAGACCUCAUGAUUCUUUCAAUUAUUAAAAAGCACUAUUUUAAGAAGACAUGUUAGUAAUCCACAGUAAGUCAGAAGUAUUGGAUCAACACAUUGGAACAUUGAGUAUUUAUUUAGUUUUUGGUGCUGGGGCUGGAACCUAGGGUCUCACAUGUGGCAGGUAAAUAUUCUACAACUGAGCUGUACCCCUAGUUCUGAAUGUUUGUUUUAUUAGGUCAUUUUAUAUACAUAUAUAUUUAAAUUUGGGACAUUGUUUUCUAAAGUCUCAAACUACUCUUAUACUCAACCCCGAAGACAACCCAGCUCACCACUCUGGAUUACGACUAACUGUUUGCGUAUAUGUUUUUCCCAAGAAAUUAUGCACCUUGAAGAAAAAGACUUCAUUUUUUUUUGCUUCACAAUAUUUCCCAUGACCCAGUGCAUGGAAUGGAUAAAUUACCCUUAGCAGAGGCUCAUCAGCGAUUCCUGACUUCCCUGCUAACUUUUCCUAGAGAUGUGAAUUAAAGAUAGAAAUUUGUUCAGACCAUUGAUGGUCCUCAGAAAUACAAUCUUAAAAAGUUGAUAUCUAUCCGGUCUCAAUUCAUGGAGAGCGGUGGGAACCAGACCUCUGAAAAGUGGUUGAGUAUUGGGCUACAAGCUUAGGGGAUAGUCCAUGAGGAAUAAAACCAAAAACAUACAUUAACAUUUAUUUGCCCAAACGGCUGGUGCCUUAAAAGCUGGUGCCCUCCCCCAUUCCAAUUAACAUGGAGGGAAAUAUUCCAGCUGCUGGGAUCUUUCCUCUGCAUGCGAACCUGCCGUUGUUGCCUGGGUAGCCUGUGUGUCUCUUUGGAAUUGAUAAUGAGGUUCAAGAGAGAGAGGUAUGGCCUGUACUAAGCAUGUCACCCCUAUUUAGCACCUUUGCCAGGAUGGCAGCCACUAUUGUUUUAUUAUGUCCCUGAUCAGCUGGCACUAUUCAUAAAGUAAUCACUGCCAUUAACACAUCACGCCUCAAGCCAUCUGCUGCAGCAUCACGUACACCAAGCUGUUGGUUGCAAGCAAAGCAGGUGUCAUCUAAGGAUAGUGGCACGGUAAAGGUGGGAAGUCAUCAUAGUGAAAGAAGAUAUGUUCUAUCAAAUAAUUCCAUAUUUUGAUACAUUAUAGUAUAAUAGGCCAUGGUUAUUUUGCCCAACUUGCAGAUGGCUUAAAUAAGAUAAUUCAAGUUUGAAAUAUUUUAUUUUCAACACCGGUCAGUUAUGGAGCCAAAAAUGUCCUUGAAUACCUUGAUGAUAGCAUCUUGAUCACAAGUGGACUAUUGCAUUAAUUUGCAGUAAAGUUUAGAGCAUUCUUACAGAAGCCUUCCUCUGAUCAAUCAACUCUUCAAGUGACAAACAUUUACUGAGCAUGUAGUAAGUGACACUGAUACCUGUCUUGCUCAAAUUGUAAAAGUACUAGUUUAAAACAUGAUCUGGUAAUGUAUAUGGUAGAGACUCCAUGUGUACUGAAUUCCCACCCUUUGUUCUGUCCCUAACACUUCUCUUGAUUUUUGAAUAAUUUUAAGUUUUUAUUACUUUCCAUAUUGAUGGCAUUUUUAUGUCCAAAACAAGUUUACAUUGGAAAAAUAUAAUGAUUAAAUGCAAUCUAUAAAAAUGGAUAAAGUAUAGGAUGAUCAGUUAUUGCCACCCUCUUCAUUAUGAAGGGGAUUUGUGAUUAUACAAUCAUGAGUGGAGUUAAAAAUUUAAUUGAAAGUGUUAAGUGAGGUUAGGGAGUGAAAUAAGUGAUCAUACUUGGUCCAAAUAGUCUUUUCCACCUGCGUGUAAAGUGGAACUGCAUUCCUUGUUUCUUUAACUAUAGAAAAUUUAUCUAUUUGCUCUGUACUCCCCCCAUAAAAAAGAAAUAAUAAAACAUUAAUGAGAGUAGCUAACUCUGCCCUCUAUUUCAAUCCCCAAGCUUUGCUCUUAUCUUGGAAGUGAGAAGUGUUGGAUGAGGGGUUGGAUCUGCCAGCCCCUCUGUUACUUUUAGCAGCAUCCUGCUCUUCACUUGCUAAGGAUAUAUGUGUCUGGCUAUGCAGGCUGUGGUCCUAGGGUCCAUGUAACACAGCACUGUUCACCAGGACACACCUGUCCACAUAUCCUCUAGGCUACUGGGUGGUCUAAGGGAUUUUUAAGGCUAAAUUUGACUUUACAUUUAGAACUUCACCUCUAUGGGUGUAUGUUAAUCACCCAUGGAAUUGGUGAAGGCUACCGGAUUCCAAAAUCUAUUGAAAGCAAAGAUAGCCAUUUUCUAUAUCAAGAUUUCUCAACUACUUUUGAACUCAACUUCCUUUUGAAAGACAAAAGAAACGUCAAGCUCUCUUCUCAUCCCUGAAGAUUUGUGGAUCCAUCUGUUGUCACCAAAAAGACACUCUCAAGAUCUACUUUUGUAGGUGGAGUUAAGAAAAACGUUUUAAAACUUCUCUUCUUGCCUUUACACCCUGAGAAUUUGGAGUGUAGAUUUCAGAUGGGAAGUAGACUACUUUUCACUAUCAAAUACUCAAUUGAAGGCAAGAUUUAGUUAUUUUGACUUGAAGAUUGAAAUUUUGGAGUCUGGAAUGGCUACCUUUGAAAAUAUAAGUGAAGAUAAAAAGACACAAAUGAAGAAUCAAAGAACAAGCUAAUGAUUAUUGUCCUUUUCUAAGGGGACUACAUAUGCUCAAUAAAUCUGUGAUUACUGACUACCUACUGACUUACAGGGACAGGCAUGCUGAUGGUUUUGGAUACUGUAAUUUUAAGUUGACUUUGCCACAUGUGAUUUAAUACUUUGAAUACAAAGCCCCCAAAUUGUUUGCUAUUUUGUUUGGAUCAAAAUGUGUAGCUCAAAUGACUUUGUAAGACUGGCUUCUCAAACUAUCACCUGCCCUUACAUCAGGCUCAGAAAGAACACAAAGACAAAAGACUCUUAGGUCCACUUCUGAUGCAUUACCAGCUCUUGCAAAUGCUCAACCAAGAAAAUACAUAAUGGUUCCUCUUUCGUCACUUUUGUUAAAAUAUUUUUGUUGAAAGUUGGUAAAAGCUGUAGAUGAGCAAGCCUGGUCAUAGGUUUGAACCUGGCACAAACGACGAGGGCACCUGGGAGAUAUUCUCCCGCUGAACAUGUCCACAGUACAGUUUUUGCCUCAGGAGCAUGUUCACUGUGGCUCUGCAGGACCCAGUUGUGUGAUAGUGGGAGGCUGAUCGACUUAAAGCACAUUGGUAGCUUGUGAACACUUAAGACUGGAAACCUUCUUUGAUAAAUGCACAUCUGUCUUCUUUUUUGAAGUCCUUAGGAAAAAUGUUGCCGGACAUUUUGCUGCCCGGAGGAGUCUAGACUUCCUUAAGCAUAAACCUUAAUCCUUCCUGGCUUCCUGCUACAAUUCUUCUGUUUCCUCCCCCAUCUUUUUCUGGGCAAAGCCAAUUCUUUUUCUCUACUCUUACCUGAGGGUCUCUGUUCACUUUUGAAGCCACAGACAAUGCAAGAAACAUUUAUUCGAAUACCUAGGCCCCAAAUGUUUCUGGAAAAAUAAAAGAUGUGUGACCAAGGACAUUACUUACCCUUUCAAUCUGUGAAAUGGAGACAAUCCAGAGAUAUCCCCUAAGGGGCCUAUGGGUAAUCAUAUAAUGUUUAUAACUCUAUAAAACAAUGGGAUACUUAUCCUUGCAAUUUGUAAAUAUAAAUUUAUAAAGACUAUAACAGUUUAACUUAUUAUAGUACUUAUCAACAUUGUUAUGUGAGUACCAUGCACUAGCCCAUUGUGUCACUGAAACCCCCUUACUGAUGUUGUUAAACACUCAGGCUUCCAGAACAUACUAAGUGUUCAAUAAAUAUAAUCAGUUACUAUUUAGAGUAAGAUAAAAAGGUAAUAAAAUAAAGCUGUAAUUCUUGUAUGUACACAGCAUGGAGGAGAAAGACUACACAGCAUGGCUAAAGACUUGGAGAUCUGACUUGAAUAUUUUAAAGGACGUAUCUUAAAGGGAUCAAGCCCAAAGAUGAUCUACCACAGAGCUACAUCUCUCGCCCUUUUUCUUUUUCUUUUUUUAUUUUGGGACAGGGUCUCACUAAAUUGGCCAGAUGGGACUUGAACUCAUGAUCAUCCUGUCUCAGUCUACCUCACUGCUGGGAUUACAGAUUUUUGGAUGGUUGUGUCCCCUCUAAACACAGCAGAAUGGUGUUCUUGCUGUUGUGCUGUUGGAAGGACGUGAACUUCCAGUUCCUGGGUCUGAGCUCUAUGUCUGAUUCUGCCACAUACCUGCAGCCCUGUGCCCUUAGCCUCCUUGAGGUAAAAAGCUUUGCUCCACCCAACGUCCCUGCCAUGAUGUUCUGCCUCAUCCCAGAACCAAAAGCAAUGGAGACAAGUGACUAUGGACUGGAGCCUCUGAAACUGUUUUUACUUGAAGACACCGAGAACUACAGCAUCAUUCAUUGUUGGCAUGUUACAGUAGAAAGACCACUGGGCUUGGGAGUAAGAAGAUGGAAAUCAAAGAGCCAGUUUUUUCACUUCAACAAAAUGGUGCUGAAGAAAUAGGAUAUUUCAGUGGUUCCUGAGCAUAACUUACAACAUCAGCAUGGUUGGAACUCUGUGCACACAUGCGUACACAUGGAUUACCCUCCUGAGCCUUUGGUUCAAAAGAUUGGAAAUUGAUUCCUAUUGUUUACAAGCAGCUGGUGUCAAUGACUACUGAUACAUCCAUUGAAUUCUAGUUUCUUCAUUUGUAAAACAGGAAUAGCAUUUCCUAUCCGUCAUAAACGAUUGUUGUGAAGAUUAAAUGCAACAAUAGACUUGUGGCACAGGCAUAAUGCUCAGAGGAAGCUCCCUUGUUUCUUCUUCCAGUGAGCCUUCCUUGUUGUAGCUCAGAGCUUCCCAAAGGGGAUUAGCUCCAUGGGAUGCUCUGCGGAAUGACUGUGUCUUGGGCAGUUGUAUUUGACACUUAGUCUUCCUUCCUGCUUGCUAAUGGACCAUUAGAACUUUAAGGACUCUAAAAUGAGCAGAAGAAAACGGACUGGUUAAAUCUGUUGCACUCAGUGUCCCCCAAAAAGUUAUUUUACUAUUAAACUUUUUAAAGUGGCAAUUAUUAAUUGAUGUUCAACAGAGCAUGCUUCAGGGAUCACUUCCCUCUACAAUCUCUAACUAAUGUUCUACCUUUCUAUAACCUCUCUCAGGGAAUUUACUGCUUGUUUUGAUCUGAUUAAGACCCAGGCUUUCUAAUCAUCCCGGACAAUAUCUGCUCUUUUUCUGAACUACUAAUUUCAGUGGACACUCAUAUUAGUGAUGAUUCUAUUUAACUUUAACUUCCUGAGAUUAUGAAGGUAGAACACAAAUUAUCUUGGAAGAAAUUAAACCAACAAUUUAGAAAUAAAAUUAAUAACUAAACAGUAAAAAUUCACAAGUACAAGGGUGUUAAAUAAAAAAAGAGAACAUUAUAUUUUGAGAGAGCAUAACUUACUCUUGCACCCAGUUUGAUGGGAUAAAUUUAAAAGUACAAGUUUGUCUGAGAGCUAAAUUAAUCCAAUAGUCAGAAAUACCUUGAUAAAAACUUAUAAAUGAACUAAAAAUAGUUAAAUGAGAUUGCUGCUGGAGGAUAACAACAUUGAAGUUGCCAAUCUAAGAGCUAUUGAGAAGCAGAAUAUAGUUACGUAGGUUUUUGGGGUGACAUAAUUUGCCUGGUCUGUAUUUUUAAAGGAAGGUGGACUAUUUUGUUUCUAUACAUCCUCCUGGAACUGAGAAUGUAUAUCUUUAGUUGAGGUGUGUCUAUAAAAUAAUGUCUUACUUAUUCAGGCCUAAGUGGAAGAGGGUACACCUGUAUGGAUGCAUGGCUUGAGGCGAAUGAGUGAACAAGAUAGUUGGAUUCAGGGUAUAAAGUUCAAAGCCAGGUCAGGAAGAGUUAGCAUUAAGACUUUGCUUCUUCAGAUAACUACUCAAUAUGUAUAUUUUUUGCAAGCAUCUUGCUUUUGCAGGUCUGCUAUGAAAAUCUCAGAAGAACAGCUUUGCUUGUGAGCUCUCCCACAUUUCUACUCUGGUCCUGGCCAGAAAGACUGUGAGAACACCCUUUCAUUUGGUAUUUGAGCCCUUCUGCCUCUAUUCCUGGCUUCAGACCAAAGGGAAUAAAUGCAACCGAACAUUUCAGAACCUCGAAAUAGUAAACCGAAAAUGGUUUGCUCUGCUUUUGGUUCUAAAAAUGAUUGACCUGAGAAUUUUUUUUCCAAACUAUCUGCUUGGUCCAUCUCUAGUGUGGAUUACUGGACUUUAGAAACCUGAGGAGGAGAGUAUUUCUUAGAAAAUACAUAAAGAAAAUAUGCAAACAAAAUUUUUAUAAUAAAGGUGCCCAGUUGCUACAACAGAGGUUAGAUUUUACGAGCAUGGUUUAUAUUCCUGAGUAUUUAAAGCAGAAGAGGCUUGGAUGAGAAAGUGGAAAACAUGGGCUUGUAUGGUGAGCCAGUUCAUCACUAGCUUAGUGACCAGGGCAGAUUCCCUAGGCUUUGUCUCCUCUGGGCAAAAUGAAUAGAAAUCAAAAGAAUUAUACUUAUUUUAAUUGAGUCAUUAUGAAGAACAAGGUAUUUCAGAAUACCUUAAAAAUUACAGUGCCAAAGACCAUGUGAAAGUCAGUAAAUCAUAGGGACUACAAGUUUGUAUGUUACCACCAAACACACCUGGUUUCAAAUCUCUGUUCCUCUGCAUUCCAGCUCUGUGACCUGCGUAUGUCACUAAAAACCUCUGAACACUGAUUUCAUCAUCUGUGAAAUGAGGAGAGUGAUGUUGGGAGAAGAAAGUCAAAUGAUGUAAAAUGGUAUUGAUGAUGCCUAUUGUACAUACUCAUAGUUCCAGGUGCCAAUCUAGAGAACCCUCUGAACUAUUUUCCACACAGUUACUUAGUCUUCUGAAUCCCAUUGAGUUGACACAAGAAUGAUGCCCAUGUGUUGGGUGGCUGCGUAGGGGGUCAGUUUACUUGCUUGGAUCCAAAAUAUGGAUUAGGCUCAAUGGGAAUAUCCAAAGGAGAAAGUAGAACACUCUGGCCGGGCUAUGCCAAGUAUAAAGCAAUGCUGAUUUGGGUCAAUUUUUAGCAUCCACUUUUCAAUAGCAAAGAGAGAAAGGUGAAAGGUAAAACUAUAUGCAGGGCCACUUUUUGUGGAAUUAGAACACCAGGACAGAUUUUCUUACAUUAGGGAUAGGAUACUUGUUUUGUGAAAAACAGGUAUUCACUAUAACUAAAUAUACAAUGUCACUGGUAGUUUACUUGAUAUUCCCUACACACAUUAAGGAUAGGAAUUUAGUAAAUAUUUGAUUUGAUUAAAUAUUAAAGUAUCAUAUAAGUCUUCCAAUGAAAACACUGUCUUUAAUCCACCCAGCAGGACUUACUGUUCUGCUACCCCUCUAAGGUGUUUGUUAAAUAGCAUUCUCUCUUCCUCCCUUCAUAGUUAAAGUUUUUGAGUGAAUAAUCCUAUUGGCAGCAUUUCUUCAUGGAUUUGGAAUCCCUACAUUUCUCUCCCUCUGGGUAUUGACACUUCUGGGCACUUGUGACUCCCCAAGGGCCACAUCCAAUGACAGUUUGUAAAUGAGAUUCUCUUUUGCCAUUUUGCAUCUUUUACCUUCUGCAGCACUUUUUUGUCCCCUCCCCCAAUUACAGUGAAUCCUUUUCUGUCGCCUUCAGGUGCUUCCUUGGGAUUCUGUCCUUUAUCGCCUUCUCUUUACCCCAUACCUUAAGCCAACCCUGCCAAUCUACUACUCUAGUUAUCUCCCCUACCCGAAACUCUGGGCCCCCAUAAUGUUCCUCCCAAGCUUGUUAUCUUCACCUGGAUGUCGUCAAGCUUGGUGUCCAAAGUCAAAGCUCAACAACUGUCUCUGUAAGCCGGCUCCCCUCUCCUGCCCCCUUCACUUCAGCCAUUUUGUUUGUAUAUGAAAAUAAACUUCUCCUGGUGGGAAAAAUUCAAACCCUCAGCACUAUCUUGGUCCCAAGGCUCUCGUUUGACCUCAAGUUCCAGGAAAUUCCCAUGUUUAGUUGUGAGCCUGUCAAUUUUAUCUAACUAUGUCUGCCACACUUACAGGGUGGACAGAUGAUGCUUCGAGGGUCUCUGGUUCUCUCUGGGAUGUGUACUCAUGCGUUCUGAAGACAGUUGCUAUAACUCCAGCCAUUUCUUCUGUAUUUUAGACAGGAAAAGGAGAUAGACCACAGAAUCAAAGGGCACUUGCCAAUGCCCAAGGGGCAUCCUUUAAGGGGAGUUUUCUUGAAGGAACUGUUUGAUAAUCUUUGCUUAUAUUGAGUUGACCAGAGCAGAGCUGCAUCAAUCCACCAGGGAGGCAAAGAAAUAUAGUCAAAACAUCUGACCACAGUGCUGCUCCAAUGAGAUAGAACACUAUGGGAAGGGAAGAAAAAGCAGCAUGAGAUUGAGUAGAUGACCAAGGGUCUUUACAAACCCGUUCUCUUUACUUUCCUAUGUUUUCUUAAAAGAAACAACCACUGAAUUUGGAAGGAUAAAAGAGACUACAGUUCUUUCUUUCCCACCCUCAUCAUCUUACUUCAUACUCUUCUUACCUUUUUGCUUAGAUUCUUGCAAAGUUACAUGUAAGUCCCUACUCCACUUUUACUAUUUCCUCGGGUCUCCACGCAUUUAUUAAAGAAGAGAGUGUUGCUGAUGGGCACUGUGCAACAUGCUCAGGAUGAAAGAAACAAUGUCCUUGUUCUUGAUUUGAUCUACACAUUAUAUACCUGUCACAAACAUCACACUGUACCCCAUAAAUAUGCACUAUUAUUAUGUGUCUAUUAAAAUCAAUCAAUCAUCAAUCAAUCCCAUGACCUUUGUUAUGGUACAUAUAGUCCUGUCGGGGAGACCAACAUGCCAGCAACUGGUCCCAGUACACCACAUCACAGGAUGAGAUGGACGUGGACGAAAUGAAUUGAGGAAGCAGAGAGAAAACCAUGGCUACUGGAGCCUGGGAAAGUCUGAGAAGACUCUAUAGAAAAGUGGAUAUUGUCAGCUGAGUUGUGUUUUAGUAAGCAUUUCACAGGCCAACUCAAAGAGAAAUAAUAAGUUUUCUGUGUUUGCAAACUAUUGCCCAUGAAAAACUGAGGGGUGACAUACUUGACCUCACUCCAAAUUUAAUUUUUAAAGAAAGGAAUCAUAAGUAAAAGUAAUUUAAAAUAUAACAUUACAGGGCACAGUAUUGAUAAAUGAGAGGAAAACUGGUUCUUAAAGAGUGUACCACUCACUGACCAUGCCCUGAAAUUAACUGAGAACUCAUUUGUCAAGAGUGUACCUACCCUGAGAAAAUCUUCCAAUUAACAUCAAAAGUGAUCAUUCUUAACCUCUCAUGCAUUAAGAAAUUCUUGUCUGCACCUGAUGUUCUGUUCAUAAUCAAUGGAGCUCUUUAUGUAUGUUAUUUCAAAUUUAUCACCCUGUAUAUUACUAAAAUGAACGAAUUAAUAAAUGAAUCUGCUGUAGGUCCAGAAGCCAGAUUUAUUUGUUGUCUCCUGGUUCUCAUAGGAUUUUCCUUUGGUCUGUAAGUCAUUUCACUCUGCAGUUUCUCACAGUUUCCGAUAUUUAUUGAUAGCUACUGACAGCAUGUGUUGGUACUUACAGACCAAUGGUGUCUAUGUAAGAAAAAUGCUUUUUGGGAGGAUUAGAUCUGUUCUGAAAAAUGUCAGCCAUGUCACUAUCAGACUAUGCUAAGAAGACAAUGCAAAAGUCCUAUCAGUUCUAACUGUAAUAUAUUGUCACAGAAACAUGCCUCAAGAUAAAUUAAGUAAUACUUGAUGCUGUCAUGGUAAUGGGAAGAUUGAUAAGUUUAUAAACUUUGGUUGAGAACAAAUUAGUGCAAUAUUCUUGGUGGCCACUAUCACGAUAUGAGAUUAAGAUAUGUUAGGCUAUAUCCCUAAAUUUGGACCCUUAAUUUCUACCUAUAAGAAUCUACCUAUGAAAAUGAUUAAAAUUUAGAAUAUGAUGUAGAAAAUGGAAGUCAGAGCAUUCAAUAAACUGCAAAAUAUCCAAGAGCUCGAAUAUUAUGUAGUCUAUCAAAAAUUCUGUCUUCAAAUAUUUUUGAUUACAUAAAAAAGUGCCUGUUACAUUCAGUGAUGGACAAGAAGGAAAGUAUUAAGGUCUCAUCCCUCUCUAUGUGGAUAAAUGUCAUUCAUGUUUAUGCAUGCAUAUCUUUCAUGUGAUUUGCACUGGACUGCUAAGAGUUUAAGUGAUUCCUGUUAUCUUCAGGGUUAUCUAAAUUUUAUAACUUUCUACAUCAAGAAGUGUGAGUUUCAUAAUCAGGAACAAAAAAGAAAAUCUUAAAAGGAAAGCUAAACAAAGAUCAUGCAAGAGAGUAGGAAGGGUUUGUUUUUGGCCCUUUUCAUAUGUAAUUGUCUACACUAAUAAUUCUCAGACUUGCAUACCAAGUGAAGUCAAUCUCACUAAGGGUCUCAAUCAAGACUCAGGCUUGAGUGUGUGCUCCAGGCUCUGAGCAUUCCCCCAUCACCCCUCUCCAUCCUGUCCUCCAAAUUUCCAUCCAUUUUUUUUUUUCAAGCCAGGAAUGUUCCCAUAUGUCUGUAAUCCCAGCACUUUAGGUGGCUGAGGCUGGAGGAUUGCAUGUUCAAGCCCAGCCUGGGCAAUUUAGUGAAUUGGAAAGACAUUGUUUCAAAAUGUAAUAAAUGAAUGAAUGAAUGAAUGAAUAAUAAAUAAAUGAAUGGGCUGAGGAUGUACCUCAGUGGAAAGGCCCUGUGUUUAAUGCCCAGGAUUGAAAAAAGGAAUUUACUUUUUUACCAAAGCACAGCUAUUGUCAUGUGACUCCCUCCUUGAAGCAUCAUUAUAACUUCCUGACUGCUCGGCGUGCUCAGCGUGGCUCCAGCUCCUGUCCACCGUCUGAUACCUUUUGUAUCGCCUCAUCUUCUGACACUCCAGCCCAGCAGGCGUCUGGUUCCCUUCACGACACGCCUCACUCUGCCCUCCCAGUCACUGUUUCCUCAUGUUUGUUCGUUCUGCUCACCCUUCAAAGCCCUGCUAAAAUUCCUAGAAUGUUCAUUGUGAAUGUUUUCCUCCAUCAUUUCCUCUGUGGACUGUAUUGGUCUCUUUUAUUGCAUUUACCAGGAUUUAACUUGUUUCAUGCUUACUUGUGUCUUUCUCUUCUUGUGUUGUUAGCCCCCCAAAUUAUACCAUCUGUUGUGAUUUUCAGUUGUUAGCAGGUAUUACAGUCAUCUAAGGGUUAAUUAAAACAGAAAUUUGGGGUCCCAUUCCAAGUAUUUCUAAUGCAAUAUACCUGUGGAGGGGCAUAGGAAAGUCCUUUUCCAAUAAGGCCACAGGCGCUGCUGCUACAGUUGGUGACAGAAAACACUUUGAGAACCAUUGCUUUCCAAGGAGGGUGAGAAUGAUGUAAAACAAAUGAGACUCUGCUUUGCUGUGGAAGAUAGAGCACGGAUAGUGAAAUCAUAGGAUUUCAUGCAACUUGGGUUAGAUUUCUGUUCUGUCACUUGAUGUUUGAACAAGUUACUUAACCUUUCUAAGAAACUUAACUUUCUUGCCAGGUAGUUUAGGAACAUUAUUAACUCUUAUAUAAGAAUUUUUUCUGAGGGUUAUAUAGGAUUGCAAAAUACCCAAUAAAUGGUGGCUACUACUAUGAAUCCAUUUAUUCUACAAAAUAACCGUGUAAGAUACGUUUUUGCUCCCAUUGGCCGUACUGUACCCCCAGACAGCUUCUUGGACUUUUAAUUAAAG